RNAcentral lists this ribosomal RNA (134 nucleotides) under Ephedra sinica (Chinese ephedra). Its description in RNAcentral is "partial 26S ribosomal RNA". It matches the Rfam family "Eukaryotic large subunit ribosomal RNA", at positions 1 to 135 of the family's 3401-position model. Lineage: Eukaryota; Viridiplantae; Streptophyta; Gnetopsida; Ephedrales; Ephedraceae. The record is from RNAcentral.
GACCCCAGUUCAGGCGAGAUCACCCGCUGAGUUUAAGCAUAUAAAUAAGCGGAGGAAGAGAAACUUACAAGGAUUCCCCUAGUAGCGGCGAGCGAACCGGGAACAGCCCAGCAUGAAAAUCGGGCGGUCCUUGC